This 716-nucleotide ribosomal RNA is filed under the name uncultured bacterium. Its description in RNAcentral is "bacterial SSU rRNA". It matches the Rfam family "Bacterial small subunit ribosomal RNA", at positions 93 to 826 of the family's 1533-position model. The record is from RNAcentral.
GAGUGGCGCACGGGUGAGAAACACGUGGGUAAUCUACCCUUGAGUUGGGGAUAACCUAUCGAAAGAUGGGCUAAUACCGAAUGACAUUGCUUUUCAUUAAGGAGAGUAAUUAAAGAUUUAUCGCUUGGGGAUGAGCCCGCGUCUGAUUAGCUAGUUGGUGGGGUAAUGGCCUACCAAGGCGACGAUCAGUAGCUGGUCUGAGAGGAUGAUCAGUCACACUGGAACUGGAACACGGUCCAGACUCCUACGGGAGGCAGCAGUGGGGAAUAUUGCGCAAUGGGGGAAACCCUGACGCAGCGACGCCGCGUGGGUGAGGAAGGUUUUAGGAUCGUAAAGCCCUGUCAAGUGGGAAGAAGAAGUGACGGUACCACUAAAGGAAGCACCGGCUAACUCCGUGCCAGCAGCCGCGGUAAUACGGAGGGUGCAAGCGUUGUUCGGAUUUAUUGGGCGUAAAGAGAGUGUAGGCGGUUUGUUAAGUCAGAAGUGAAAGCCCCGGGCUCAACCCGGGAAGUGCUUUUGAAACUGGCAGACUUGAGUACGGGAGAGGGUAGCGGAAUUCCAAGUGUAGAGGUGAAAUUCGUAGAUAUUUGGAGGAACACCGGUGGCGAAGGCGGCUACCUGGACCGAUACUGACGCUGAGACUCGAAAGCGUGGGGAGCAAACGGGAUUAGAUACCCCGGUAGUCCACGCCCUAAACGAUGAGUACUAGGUGUUGC